GACGAACGUUGGCGGCGUGCUUAAUACAUGCAAGUCAACUGAAGCAGUGGUAGCAAUAUCGCUGUGGAGGUGGCGCACGGGUGAGUAACACGUAGGUAAUCUGCCUUCAGGUCUGGCAUAACUCCGGGAAACCGGGGCUAAUAGCAGAUGAUGCAGCGGCUCGACAUCGAGACAGUUGUUAAAGCUAUGGCGCCUGAAGAUGAGCCUGCGUCUGAUUAGCUAGUUGGCGGGGUAACGGCCCACCAAGGCAACGAUCAGUAGCUGGUCUGAGAGGAUGAUCAGCCACACUGGAACUGAGACACGGUCCAGACUCCUACGGGAGGCAGCAGUAGGAAUAUUGCUCAAUGGGAGAAAUCCUGAAGCAGCAACGCCGCGUGAGGGACGAAGGGCUUUUGCUUGUAAACCUCUGUAGUGAGAGAAAAAAAUCCCAAUCUUUGGGACAUGAUGGUAUCUCAAAAGUAAGCCCCGGCUAACUACGUG
This 480-nucleotide ribosomal RNA is filed under the name uncultured bacterium. Its description in RNAcentral is "partial 16S ribosomal RNA". It matches the Rfam family "Bacterial small subunit ribosomal RNA", at positions 28 to 507 of the family's 1533-position model. The record is from RNAcentral.